AAGCAACACUCUGUGGCAGAUGAUUGAAAAUGUCUGACACAAUUUGAGCUUGCUAUAGCAAGAAAGUCUAACCUAUUCCGGUGUUCUCUUCUCCGUGAGACGAGCCGUUAUAUAGACUCAAACAGU
Non-coding RNA from Equus caballus (horse), 126 nucleotides. The record is from Rfam. NCBI's taxonomy places the organism in Eukaryota, Metazoa, Chordata, Mammalia, Perissodactyla, Equidae.